CAGCUGUGUUUCUCUUCUCUCCUCUCCCGAGUCAACUAGGAAUACCCUGGACUGCAACAAGACAGGACUAGAAAGAAUUCAGGAAGCCACCAAAUCACUGGCGCAACUUAUGUGAAGCUACGUUCCAGGUGGCGCUAAACUUUACACUGAAGAUGAUUUAGACUUUCCGCAGACUCAAGACACCAAGGGUCACAGACAUUUCCAGCAGUCCAGAUCACAGUCUUCCUCAUAGGUUCCAGAACUCUCUCCUUGCUGCUGAAUGAAGAUAAAUCUUGGUAAAGCUCCCUGUUGGAUGUGGCAGCAAUUGUGCCAACUUCUGUUCCUGAAUGAGUACAUGAACUUGGCUCCUCCUUCUACCAUUAUGUGAACAAGAAGAAAAUAAUCCCACUGGAUCUGAGCACUAUAGAAUUUUGGAGUCCAUUUGUGAUAAAUGUUUAUUUAACUAGGUGCUAUUUCCGUUCCACCUUCAAUUCCCUUUUGUAUUUGCAAUUACCUUCCAUUUUAUGAGUUUUCACCAACAGAUAUCUAACAAGCUCUGACCUACAUUUUUUCACUUUCUUCGAUGUUUUCCACUGACUAAUCUCUAUGUUUUUCAGGUCUUCUAAAUACUGACCUAUCAUCACCCAGAAGUAGUCUCGUGUGCCAGCAAAAACUGUUCCUUUGAGAUAGAAAACAUUUAAAAGUCAAAAUCUACUGCAUACCUUUUUUGUCUGGGAGUGGGUGUCUCUUUUUCUGAUUGCUGAGUAGAUUUUUUUUUUUUUCCUACCUGAUUUUGACAUCUUCUAAAUGAUUCCUAAGCAUUUAUGUACUUCUGGAAGCAUUUUGACUAUUUUCAGAGAAACUGUUAAUACACUUCCUGGUUUCACACAUUGAUUUCUGAAUAGGAAUUAGGAAUCGGUAUUCACCUUUGGUUUCUUCAUGUCUUCUCUGAAAUGUGGCAUUUUUCUUUUUUUAAAAUAUUUUAUUUACUUGUUAAUGAGAAAGAUAGAAGAGAGAGAAAGAACCCCAUAUCCCUCCGAUACACGUGCUGCUAGGGAUUGAACUCAGGACCUUGUGCUGGAAAGUUCAAUGCUGUAUCUACCGCAUCAUCUCCAAGACCGCAUGUAAUGCUUUUCUUAUUUUGAAUUUUCUGUUUCCCUGCUCUCUAAUUUUUUGACAUUGGGUUCUGGAUCUUCUUUCAGAUUCUUUGUUUAAAUUAAGAGGUUUCUUGGCUUUUCUGUUCCUGGUUUCUAUUUACAACUCUGGACACAGUAUCAUUAUAUAGAACCUCAUCACUAGAAAGGAUUUUUUUCCUUCUGUAAUACCCUCUGCUAUCU
Molecule: long non-coding RNA, 1316 nt
Organism: Erinaceus europaeus (western European hedgehog)
Lineage: Eukaryota; Metazoa; Chordata; Mammalia; Eulipotyphla; Erinaceidae
Exons: 3
Source: RefSeq, a predicted model, not a curated record